AACAGUCCUUGACUAAUCCCACAGUGGGGAAAUUCACUUGAAUAGAAAAAUACCUAAAAACAAUAUGAACUGUAUAUGAAUAAAGUACCUACAGCUAAAAUUAAAACUAAAUAGAAACCUGAAAUCUGAGAGACUUUUAAACACAGAACAUGUUUUGUAUGAUCAUUGCAUAACUUUACAUUUAGUCUAGGAAACUGACUUUUCAAUCCAAAGGGUUUGAUUAGAAACUGAUCUUCAAGGAGCUUUUUGUCAAACCAGAUCUCUUUUCGUGUUAAAACACAAAUUCAUUCAUUUUAAUAGAGUCUGAACAGCAGGCAGCAUAAUUCCAGCCAACAUAACUGAAAAAUAACUGCCGCCUCAUUACUGGGGGAACUUCUGCCAUCACUAUGGCAACAGAACAGACCUGUUUCCAUAGCGACAUUACCAAACACUGCAGGGUGUUGAGUUGGAUUAUUUCCACAGUGCUGAUAAGAAUCAUUAUUUUCUUCAACCAAGGCAGGUUUCUGUAAUUAUUAAUGAGAUGUUGAGUCGACGUUAGCGGGUAAUCUGGAGGUAAAGGUGCUGAUGGCCUCACCGUAGCGCUGGGAACCAGCAAAGAAAGCUCUGGAGACCCUGCAGCAUCUCCUUUGGUGAUGCAAACUUGUGAGGAUCCCAGGUGAAGUAGCGCUUCCCGUCUGUGUGCUCGAUAUCGAGC
Long non-coding RNA from Gambusia affinis (western mosquitofish), 694 nucleotides. RefSeq lists it as uncharacterized. The transcript is spliced from 3 exons. The record is from RefSeq and is a predicted model, not a curated record. NCBI's taxonomy places the organism in Eukaryota, Metazoa, Chordata, Actinopteri, Cyprinodontiformes, Poeciliidae.